GGCGGGCCCAUUGCGUUCUCUUUCUGCAUUGCUUCGUUAAUGGUUUCCGGCUCUGCUUCAUCCUUUGCCUUUGGUGUGCGGCCCGUCAUCUCCGCAUCGUCGCCAUGUCUUCCGACACUGCCGCGUCCUGUCUUCUGGACAUUGUCGUCUUCGCAGGCGGCGACUCACUGGAUCUGAUGCCGCUGACUGCCGUGGAGCAGAAGACGAUGCUGCGGAUCUGCAACCGGCCUCUGAUUUGGUACGCCAUCACGCCGUGGAUCGAGGCAGGCUUUCGCUGCUUCUUCUUGUGCGUCAACGAGGACUACGCGACACUGCGAGCGUACCUCUCUCGGGCUUUUGACGGCGUCGACUUCCACUAUAUUCUUGUCCCCUCCAACAUAGGUGAUCACCCGUCCACAACGUGCGAUGCCGUCAAGGCGUACCUCAAGUACAAGGAGGCUCUGCGGCUUGGCGAGGAGGGCACGCUCGCCGAGGUUGCUCGUGGCAUGCCGGAUCGCAACGACUCCGCGAUGAGCGUGGAGGCCAGCGGCGGCCGCUCUCCUUCUGUGAUGUCACUGCAUGAGGCGCAGCAGUACCGCGGCGCCAGUGGCAGCCGAAAUCACGGUGGCAGCACCAGCCACAGCAAUCGCGACCCGUUGAAGCUCGAGCGCAUGAACAGCGCCGGCCUCCCGCGCGACGCUCUGUUGCUGAGCUGCGACACCAUCCUUGUCGACGUUGACGUAGCGAGCUUCGUGGAGCGGCACUACGCCUCUCUGGCGUCCGUGACGGCAAUGCUGUAUCGCCCUCUGCGCAAGCGCGGCGGCGGCGGCGAUCACAAGGGCGGCCACCGACACGGGAAGGGUGGCGGUGGUGCUUCAGCCGACUCUGUGGAGGUGUCUUACACCCACGCGCUGUCGUGUGUUGCCUACGAGGAGACAGAUGCGCUUGCCUCCAUGGCACUCGGUGCGGCCUCUAGCGCACCAACCUCCUCAUGUAGCCGACAUUUGCCGAGUGGGACGCCGCCGCAGUUGCUGCACGCAUCUGCCGGCCUGGUUGCACGCUCACCCUGCGAGGCGCGCAUCAUGGCUGCCGAGCCCGUUCACGUCCACCACCACCGCAUGCACUACCUCAACUCGCUGGAGGGCAAGCCGGAGGUGCGUAUUACCAUGGCGUUCGCAGCGCGCCGUCCUGACUUGACGUUCGCCGCCGAUGUUGUCGACGCGCACGCGUACCUGAUGAGCCGUUGGGUGCUCGAGUUUAUUGCGGAGUCGGCAGGUGUUUCGGACAUGAGCGUGCGCAAGGACAUUCUGCCUCUUCUGGCACGUAGUCAACACACCACCGUCAAUGCAGCCGAAAAAGUCUUCGUGACGCCGGCAGAAAAGCUGAAAAUGAACGUGCCGCUCCACUGGCUCGGAGAGGGUGCCGAGAUCUCGGCGCAGUCGCUCAACGCCGCGUGUGGGUUUUCGCUGCCGGAGGUGACAGACUCGCUGCGCGUGUUCUGCACCAUCUACGAGGAGGACCCUGACGUGGCGUGCCGCAUCUGCCGCAUGAACACCCGCGACAAUUACCGUGCCCUGAACCGCGACAUCAUCUCCGCCAAGUGUUCCCAGCUUCAGCUAGAGGAGCCACUGCUGAGCGCCGGCGGUGCUGCGGGCGCUGGUGGUGCAUUCGGCGGAGGCACCAGUGCCGUGAACCGCUUCGCGCUGCCUUCCUUGCUCCCCCAUGGCGGCGCGCACGCCGGACACACCGUUGCUGCUGGUGGAGCAGCGCAUGGCGACAGCGGCAAACCGGCACCGUCCGCUGGCGCUGUGGCCCUUUCCUCACUCCUUCCGGACAACCCGAUCACGCUUCGGGAGAAGUUUGGCGACCAGCAGGUGUGUAUUGUCGGCAGCUUUAUCGACUCCGUCCCGCCGCCGAACGUGUUCGUGACGCGCAGUGUGAUCGGCGCGCACGUCACGCUGGAGCCCGGCGUUCGCAUCACGGACAGCAUCCUCAUGGGCAACGUCGAGAUUGGUGCCAAGGCCGUCGUGUCGAAUAGCGUCAUCGGCACCGGUGCCGUGGUGAGCGCCGGAUGUCGCGUUGUGGGCACCAUUGUCGGGCCCCGUUGCGUCGUCGAGGAGAACGCAAGUGACACCAUAAUUGAGUAACUCUGAACUAGCUUGAACCUGCGUCUCUCUCUCUCUCUCUGUGUGUGUGCGCGCGCGCGCGUUUUUGUGUGCGAGGGCGCGUGCUUGUAUAUCCGCAGCAGAGAGCCGCGGUGGGUAAUACAGAUAGGGACAGACACAGGCGGAGGUGGGCAUUGUCUGUCUUUGUAUUUCACUCUUCGCCUACUCUCCAUGGUUCGCGCUCCCCACUCUCUCUGUAUGUCUCUGUGUCUGUGCUCACGGCCGAGGUCGCUGGCGCUGUCGCUGCCGUGUUGGGUGUUCUUCGUCCACGUUGGCGAUACAAACGCGCGAGCACGGCGCACAUCGUGAGCGACAGCCGCUGCGCCGGAAAUGGCAGCAAACGAUCG
Molecule: unclassified non-coding RNA, 2491 nt
Filed under: Leishmania donovani
Lineage: Eukaryota; Euglenozoa; Kinetoplastea; Trypanosomatida; Trypanosomatidae
Description: gene:LdHU3.28.3550(CDS-product:hypothetical_prote in_conserved)
Source: RNAcentral